GACGAACGCUGGCGGCGUGCUUAACACAUGCAAGUCGAACGGAAAGGCCCUGCUUGCCGGGUACUCGAGUGGCGAACGGGUGAGUAACACGUGGGUGAUCUGCCCUGCACUUCGGGAUAAGCCUGGGAAACUGGGUCUAAUACCGGAUAGGAGCCAUUUUUAGUGUGAUGGUUGGAAAGUUUUUUCGGUGUAGGAUGAGCUCGCGGCCUAUCAGCUUGUUGGUGUGGUAAUGGCCUACCAAGGCGGCGACGGGUAGCCGGCCUGAGAGGGUGGACGGCCACAUUGGGACUGAGAUACGGCCCAGACUCCUACGGGAGGAAGAAGUGGGGAAUAUUGCACAAUGGGCGCAAGCCUGAUGCAGCGACGCCGCGGGGGGGAUGACGGCCUUCGGGUUGUAAACUCCUUUCGCUAGGGACGAAGCUUUUUGUGACGGUACCUAGAUAAGAAGCACCGGCUAACUACGUG
This 465-nucleotide ribosomal RNA is filed under the name uncultured bacterium. Its description in RNAcentral is "partial 16S ribosomal RNA". It matches the Rfam family "Bacterial small subunit ribosomal RNA", at positions 28 to 507 of the family's 1533-position model. The record is from RNAcentral.